This 359-nucleotide unclassified non-coding RNA is filed under the name uncultured fungus. RNAcentral describes it as "partial contains 5.8S ribosomal RNA and internal transcribed spacer 2". The stretch from base 1 to 133 matches the Rfam family "5.8S ribosomal RNA", at positions 22 to 154 of the family's 154-position model. The record is from RNAcentral. Lineage: Eukaryota; Fungi.
UGGCUCUCGUAUCGAUGAAGAACGCAGCGAAAUGCGAUAAGUAAUGUGAAUUGCAGAAUUCAGUGAAUCAUCGAAUCUUUGAACGCACCUUGCACCCUUUGGUAUUCCGAAGGGUAUGCCUGUUUGAGUGUCAUUAAAUUCUCAAUCUAAAUAAUUUUUUUUAUUGGAUUGGAUUUGAGGGUUUGUUGGCUUGCAAAAGUCUGACUCCCUUUAAAUACAUGAGUGGCUUAAUUUGAUCCCCAUUAUUUGGUGUGAUAAAUCUUAUCUACAUCAUACAAUGGCAAAUAUUAGCUGCUUUCUAACUGUCCUUUGGACAACUUGAACCAUUUGACCUCAAAUCAGGUAGGACUACCCGCUGA